Molecule: unclassified non-coding RNA, 218 nt
Filed under: Hevea brasiliensis (rubber tree)
Lineage: Eukaryota; Viridiplantae; Streptophyta; Magnoliopsida; Malpighiales; Euphorbiaceae
Source: RNAcentral
UGCUUUUUAAGUAAUCCAGCUUUUUCUAAAUUAUUCAAAGUUGCCAUGUGCUCAAAUCCAUAGCUGUGGAGUAGCUCCCUCCUCAAAUAGUCAAAAUGCUUCUUGGGCAACCCUGAAUUUGUAACAGAAAGCAAUAUGAGAAACCGCAGAACACUGACAAGAGGUUCCUGCUUAUGGAUCAAUUCUUCAAUGUACUCAAAGCAUAUGUCAUAGCUCUG